Molecule: long non-coding RNA, 523 nt
Organism: Rhinolophus ferrumequinum (greater horseshoe bat)
Lineage: Eukaryota; Metazoa; Chordata; Mammalia; Chiroptera; Rhinolophidae
Exons: 3
Source: RefSeq, a predicted model, not a curated record
GUUCUCAUUCUCGGAAGGGGAGCACCCCCUCCCACUGCCCACGGUGCCUCGUCUGCCGCCUGGGGCUGCCAGCACUGCCACUUGGGCACCAUGCCCACUGGCCUGGCCAGUCCUCGCUCAGGACAAUUCAAAUCGGCUGUAAUGGAGAGUUCGAAAUAUAGGUCAAGGGGCCUCCUGUCAAGGGUGCGGCAAUGGCUGUAGUUGCUGGAACAGCAGCUGCUCUGUCUGAGCCUCACUUCCUCUGGCUCCAGCUGCAGGUUCCUCCAGGCCAAGCGGGGAGUUUCCUGAACCUCGGGGCUUUGGCCCUGGCUAACAGGUCACCCUCACCCCCAGCUGCUCACCACCCUCUGCUGCUCAUUGCUGAUGUUGGUUUUUAAGAGAUAAAGGAAAUGGCAACAAAACACUGUUUUGGAUCUUCAGGACUGUUUUAUCCUCUAGGCCUAAAGACACAAAAUCUCAGGUAUACAGAAAUGUUUGGAACCUGAAACCUAAAAAAAAAAUUGUUGAUCCAAAAUGAAAAAUA